CACCCCAGAUCAUCUCAGCAGUUUUUGUCUUUUUACAGAAAGGAGGGACUUGACUAGCCCAACCUUACUCACACCUCCUGUUUCCAAGAACUGCGUUCCACAGUCACUUUCCCAAGAGAAGCAUUUCCAGAGAGACACCUGCAGCAUCUCCCCUGUUCAGUCAUGCUCCUGUUGCUCCUGGCAGUACUGGGGAUGAUUUUUGGCCUGAGAGAUGCCAGAGCCCAGACUGUGACCCAGAAGGAUAGCCCUGUCACUGUUUCUGAAGGAGAUGUUCUGGAGCUGGGAUGCAACUAUUCAUACAGUGCAACUGUUUAUCUCUACUGGUAUGUCCAGUACCCUGGCCAAGGCCUCCAGUUUCUCCUCAGAUACUUCUCAGGGGACCCCAUUGUUAAAGGCAUCAAUGGCUUUGAGGCUGAAUUUAGGAAGAGUGAAUCUUCCUUCAACUUGAGGAAAUACCCUGUGCAUUGGAGUGACUCAGCUGUGUACUUCUGUGCCGUGAGUGCCACAGUGCCUGGGACUGCAGGGGGAGCUGAACACAAACUGUGA
Molecule: non-coding RNA, 546 nt
Organism: Nycticebus coucang (slow loris)
Lineage: Eukaryota; Metazoa; Chordata; Mammalia; Primates; Lorisidae
Source: the annotation of a RefSeq genome assembly